AUGAUGCUCGCGGCUCCUGGAUGUGCCAUGAUGAUGCCGGAGCCCAUGGUGGAUUUCGUCGCCGACCAUCCUUUCGCGUAUUUCACAGUCGAGGAGGCGUCCAGCGUCAUCAUGUUUGCAGGGCAUGUUGUCGACCCUACCAAUGGCAAAGGCCCGGUGCGGAUUGUGCAACAGAAACAGGGGGGUGCACUUAGCCAGCAGCGGCUACCUGUGGGAGGAUACGACGAGUUGCCGGUGACCAGAAACCCGCCGGUGCAGUUCGAUGCAGCAGGGCAGACGAAGAAUCCUCGCUCCAGCGGCCUGGCAGCGCUCGCCGCGAGGCUUGCGAGGCGCCUGGCCGAGGACAGCACGGACGACAAUCUAGUCUUCUCGCCGCUGUCCAUCUACACCGCUUUGGCGCUCCUGGCUGCCGGCGCCCGGAAGGCCACACUGGACGAGAUCCUCCGCGUCCUCGGCGCGCGGUCACGUGGCGACCUCGAGAAGUUCGUGUCGCGCAUGGCGGUGGACGCGCUCCAGGAUAGGUCCGCCUUGGGCGGCCCCUGCGUGGCGUUUGCAUGUGGCGUGUGGAGCGACCUAAUGCGGCCGCUGAAGCCGGCCUUCCGCGAGGCCGUGGUGGGCACGUACAAGGCCGAGGCGAGCACCGUCGACUUCCGCGGCGCGCCGGAGGAAGCGUGUGUCCAGAUCAACGCAUGGGUGGCUCAAGUGACGAGGAACCUCAUCGACUCUGUCCUCCCGGCAGUGUCGAUAAAACCAGCAACAGCUCUGGUGCUCGGCAACGCCAUGUACUUCAAGGGCAAGUGGGAGGACCAGCCGUUCGACCGGAGGCACACCGUGGACAAGCCCUUCCACCGGCUCGACGGCAGCCAGGUCGACGUGCCCUUCAUGCAGAGCCGGGAGUCGCAGUUAGUCGCCGUGCAUGACGGGUUCAAGGUACUGAAACUCCGGUACAAGAUGGCGUCCCCAGUUCACGAGCAGCAGGCACUCCAGCUCCGAUCGUAA
RNAcentral lists this ribosomal RNA (999 nucleotides) under Triticum aestivum (bread wheat). Its description in RNAcentral is "partial small subunit ribosomal RNA". The record is from RNAcentral. Lineage: Eukaryota; Viridiplantae; Streptophyta; Magnoliopsida; Poales; Poaceae.